This 253-nucleotide ribosomal RNA is filed under the name uncultured bacterium. RNAcentral's name for it is "partial 16S ribosomal RNA". It matches the Rfam family "Bacterial small subunit ribosomal RNA", at positions 524 to 776 of the family's 1533-position model. The record is from RNAcentral.
UACGUAGGGUGCGAGCGUUGUCCGGAAUUACUGGGCGUAAGGAGCUCGUAGGUGGUUUGUCGCGUUGUCCGUGAAAACUCACAACUCAAUUGUGGGCGUGCGGGCGAUACGGGCAGACUGGAGUACUGCAGGGGAGACUGGAAUUCCUGGUGUAGCGGUGGAAUGCGCAGAUAUCAGGAGGAACACCGGUGGCGAAGGCGGGUCUCUGGGCCGAUACUGACGCUGAGGAGCGAAAGCGUGGGGAGCGAACAGG